RNAcentral lists this ribosomal RNA (320 nucleotides) under uncultured bacterium. RNAcentral's name for it is "bacterial SSU rRNA". It matches the Rfam family "Bacterial small subunit ribosomal RNA", at positions 28 to 339 of the family's 1533-position model. The record is from RNAcentral.
GACGAACGCUGGCGGCGUGCCUAAUACAUGCAAGUCGAGCGGAUUGAUGGGAGCUUGCUCCCUGAUAUCAGCGGCGGACGGGUGAGUAACACGUGGGCAACCUGCCUAUAAGACUGGGAUAACUUCGGGAAACCGGAGCUAAUACCGGAUCAUUCCUUUCCUCACAUGGGGGAAGGCUAAAAGAUGGUUUACGCUAUCACUUAUAGAUGGGCCCGCGGCGCAUAGCUAGUUGGUGAGGUAAUGGCUCACCAAGGCAACGAUGCGUAGCCGACCUGAGAGGGUGAUCGGCCACACUGGGACUGAGACACGGCCCAGACUCC